This is a small RNA of Brucella melitensis, 176 nucleotides long. It matches the Rfam family "Brucella sRNA 1350". The record is from Rfam. Lineage: Bacteria; Pseudomonadati; Pseudomonadota; Alphaproteobacteria; Hyphomicrobiales; Brucellaceae.
AUGUAGGAAAGAAAUCAAUAAAUAGGAAAAUAGUCCUUGACUGCGUUACGGUGCUUUGGUAGAUAUUGGCUACGGUCGAGAAAUUGCGACUGAUGCCAUCUUAGCUACAUACCCCCGGCUGACAUGGUAAGGAUAGCCCCGGAAAGCCAUCGGUUUUUCGGGGUUUCUUUUAGAGA